Molecule: non-coding RNA, 70 nt
Organism: Dipodomys ordii (Ord's kangaroo rat)
Lineage: Eukaryota; Metazoa; Chordata; Mammalia; Rodentia; Heteromyidae
Source: Rfam
GGGAAGGUAGCUCAGUGGUAGAGCGCUUGCCUUGUAUCCAUGAAGCCCUGGGUUCGAUUCCUCAGCACCA